UACGUAGGUGGCGAGCGUUGUCCGGAAUUACUGGGUGUAAAGCGCGCGUAGGCGGUAGGCCAAGUCUGCUGUGAAAUCGCCCGGCUCAACUGGGCGCGGUCGGUGGAAACUGGUCAGCUGGAGGACGGUAGAGGCGAGUGGAAUUCCCGGUGUAGUGGUGAAAUGCGUAGAGAUCGGGAGGAACACCAGUGGCGAAGGCGGCUCGCUGGGCCGGACCUGACGCUGAGGCGCGAAGGCGUGGGGAGCGAACGGG
RNAcentral lists this ribosomal RNA (253 nucleotides) under uncultured bacterium. RNAcentral's name for it is "partial 16S ribosomal RNA". It matches the Rfam family "Bacterial small subunit ribosomal RNA", at positions 524 to 776 of the family's 1533-position model. The record is from RNAcentral.